This is a long non-coding RNA of Vidua macroura (Pin-tailed whydah), 509 nucleotides long. RefSeq lists it as uncharacterized. NCBI's taxonomy places the organism in Eukaryota, Metazoa, Chordata, Aves, Passeriformes, Viduidae. The transcript has 2 exons. The record is from RefSeq and is a predicted model, not a curated record.
GUCUCCAUGGCGGCACGCGCGGCAGCGAGGGCUGUGAGGGCCCUGUGCCUGGGGCUGGCGGGCCGGGCAGCCCCCGGCAUCCAUGGGCAACCGGGACCGGCGCUUGCUGGGACAUAAAGAUACAUGUAACCUUGCAUUGACAGAGCUACAUGUAACCCUACCCCAAAGAUACAGAUUAAUACUGGCGGUCGAUGCAAAUACCGGGGGAGACUAGAGAAGGCAAGAAGAAGCUUCGUUUACGCCCCGAAUCUGCCCAGCUUUCAUUGCUGAGUGUGACAUGAAGCAGUCUGGGAUGUCACCAGCCUUCCCCACUGGGUCCCUUCCUGGUGAACUCCUCCAGCCUACUCACUGGCAGUGUUGUCCCAAAUACAGGUUCUUCUGUCUUUUGUGUAAGAAGCUGACCCAUAGGAGAUAUUUGCUUAUUUCAUAUUUGUGCAGAGGUGAACCCACAAAAUCAACUACAGUCAGGCUGAAAAUUUAUACUUUCAUAAAGUAUAUGAAGCACAGAA